RNAcentral lists this unclassified non-coding RNA (329 nucleotides) under soil metagenome. Its description in RNAcentral is "partial contains 5.8S ribosomal RNA, internal transcribed spacer 2, and large subunit ribosomal RNA". The stretch from base 1 to 120 matches the Rfam family "5.8S ribosomal RNA", at positions 35 to 154 of the family's 154-position model. The record is from RNAcentral.
GAUGAAGAACGUAGCGAAAUGCGAUAAGUAAUGUGAAUUGCAGAAUUCAGUGAAUCAUCGAAUCUUUGAACGCACAUUGCGCCCUCUGGUAUUCCGGGGGGCAUGCCUGUUCGAGCGUCAUUAUAACCACUCAAGCUCUCGCUUGGUAUUGGGGUUCGCGGUUCCGCGGCCCCUAAAAUCAGUGGCGGUGCCUGUCGGCUCUACGCGUAGUAAUACUCCUCGCGAUUGAGUCCGGUAGGUCUACUUGCCAGCAACCCCCAAUUUUUACAGGUUGACCUCGGAUCAGGUAGGGAUACCCGCUGAACUUAAACAUAUCAAUAAGCGGAGGA